Sebastes umbrosus (honeycomb rockfish) is the source of this 1418-nucleotide long non-coding RNA. RefSeq lists it as uncharacterized. The record is from RefSeq and is a predicted model, not a curated record. The transcript is spliced from 2 exons. Lineage: Eukaryota; Metazoa; Chordata; Actinopteri; Perciformes; Sebastidae.
GCUAAUAGAGAGUUGGGGGUUGUAUCUAGAUAUUUACGUUCAGUGUUCAGUGGGAGCCGCCCUUCAUUCACCCACAUGUUACCAACUGCUCGCCUUCGCGCCACUUUCCUAACCCCGCUAUCAUUGUUAACCAGCCUUUAUCCCGGCUAUAAAUUCACCCGCGAGCCGCUCCGCUUUCACUCUACGUUUUCGUUUUCAUCCGCAGGUAGAAAAGUUUCGGAAUAGUUGCGUAUUUAUCUCUUUUUGUCGGUAAAGAGCUUCUCUCCAACACACACGGAGGAGCCGAAGAGAGGCAGCGAAGAUGGAGGAUGUCGGCUGAUCCACCAUGAUGAAGUGCAGGACCCCCAAACUAAAUUGCAGAGGGAGCAGUGUGACCAUCUUUACCCAUGCAGCGGUGCUGUAAUCAGUCUGUGUAUUGUCAAAGUGCUUACAGUGCAGGUAGUACUAUGUAAUACCUACUGCAGUGGAGGCACUUACAGCAAUACCCUGACACUGAUGUGCAGAUUCUUGUGAUGUUACAUGUCAUUUUUUUGAAUAACUGUCUUUGUGCUAAGGUGCAUCUAGUGCAGAUAGUGAAAUAGACUAGCACCUACUGCCCUAAGUGCUCCUUCUGGCAUAAGGGGCUGUGAUAUGCGCCACCAGACCAUUUUUUAAUUUCUAAUUGGGCUCAAAUAUCUUGCAGUUCUCUGCUAGUUUUGCAUAGUUGCACUACAAGAAUAGAUGAGUUGUGCAAAUCUAUGCAAAACUGAUGGUGGCCUGCUUGCUCUCCACCUGUUUAGAUUUUUUGGUUUCGGGGUGUCACAUCAAACACAAUCUGAUUGUAAAUACACAUGUAACACUGUUGAGUAUUUCCCAGUUCUCAUCAAGUGACUCAGUUUCAGCAGUACUAAAGUGCUUAUAGUGCAGGUAGUGUUUUUCUCCUAUCUACUGCAAUGUAAGCACUUGAAGUACUUCUAACUAACUGCCAUCUUUCUGAAGCUCGGCUGUUUACAAUCACGAAAGACCUUUUAAUCAUCGCCUGGUCAGUUUUGCUGGUUUGCAUUCAGCUUUAACUGAUGUUUGCUGUGCAAAUCCAUGCAAAACUGACUAUGUUGAUGAACUAUGUUCUGCCAAGUGGGCUUGCUUUUUCAUCAAGGAUAGGAUGUGUUUGAUGUUUCGGAUAUUUGGGGAUGUCCCUUUCUGUGCAGGUGGGGAUUAGUAGCAAUGCUGUCUAUCUGGAGGUAUUGCACUUGUCCCGGCCUGUAUAGGAGCGAGGAGAUGAAGCUGACCUGGAUCAUGACCCGAGUGACUAGAAAAUGCUGCGCUAAUGUCCUGUAAUGUUUUGGUCUAUAUGAUUUGCAUGCGAUUAUUGAUGGGGAAUGUUUUUAAUUUGGUUAAUUGUAAUGUUUCCUGAAAUAUAUUACAUUUUAAACACUUUU